GACGAACGCUGGCGGCGUGCUUAACACAUGCAAGUCGAGCGGUAAGGCCCUUUCGGGGGUACACGAGCGGCGAACGGGUGAGUAACACGUGGGUGACCUGCCUUCAGCUCUGGGAUAAGCCUGGGAAACCGGGUCUAAUACCGGAUAUGACCUCAUGACGCAUGUUGUGGGGUGGAAAGCCUUUGUGCGGCUGGGGAUGGGCCCGCGGCCUAUCAGCUUGUUGGUGGGGUGAUGGCCUACCAAGGCGACGACGGGUAGCCGGCCUGAGAGGGCGACCGGCCACACUGGGACUGAGACACGGCCCAGACUCCUACGGGAGGCAGCAGUGGGGAAUCUUGCGCAAUGGGCGGAAGCCUGACGCAGCGACGCCGCGUGAGGGAUGACGGCCU
RNAcentral lists this ribosomal RNA (389 nucleotides) under uncultured bacterium. RNAcentral describes it as "bacterial SSU rRNA". It matches the Rfam family "Bacterial small subunit ribosomal RNA", at positions 28 to 417 of the family's 1533-position model. The record is from RNAcentral.